This 426-nucleotide ribosomal RNA is filed under the name uncultured bacterium. Its description in RNAcentral is "bacterial SSU rRNA". It matches the Rfam family "Bacterial small subunit ribosomal RNA", at positions 355 to 773 of the family's 1533-position model. The record is from RNAcentral.
UGGGGAAUUUUGGACAAUGGGGGCAACCCUGAUCCAGCCAUGCCGCGUGCGGGAAGAAGGCCUUCGGGUUGUAAACCGCUUUUAGUCGGGAAGAAAAGGCAAGGGUUAACACCUCUUGUUCUUGACGGUACCGGCGGAAUAAGCACCGGCUAACUACGUGCCAGCAGCCGCGGUAAUACGUAGGGUGCGAGCGUUAAUCGGAAUUACUGGGCGCAAAGCGUGCGCAGGCGGUUUGUUAAGUCUGAUGUGAAAGCCCCGGGCUCAACCUGGGAAUGGCAUUGGAAACUGGCAAGCUCGGGUGCGGCAGAGGGGGGUGGAAUUCCGCGUGUAGCAGUGAAAUGCGUAGAGAUUAGGAAGAACACCAGUGGCGAAGGCGACUCUCUGGACUGUAACUGACGCUGAGGCUCGAAAGCGUGGGGAGCAAAC